AACUCUUUUCAGUGAGGACUUGCUGCCUAGCUACUCAGAUUGUAGACAAUGGAUAGCUUGGAGCUGUUAACUCCUUCAGGUUGCUUUCCCAGGGCAGCUGGUAUUUGGCUAUUUAUGAAGAAAGAAAAGGAGUGUUGCCCAUGAAAUAGGAGAUCACUAAAGAUGAGGGGAAGCAGAAGCUUAUCAGCUGCUUUUUCAAAUGUUAUGGAAAGGCUGUUUGUGGCAUACUUUGGUAAGAAGAGAGUGCCUGGAAACUCCUGGUGUGUAAGAAGAACCCAAAGCAUCACACAGGAAAAUGAAAUCAAGUUAAACAAAGAAAAAUCCAAAGUGCCCACCCACAUUUUCCAGAAUAUCAGUGCUAUCAUUGACAGACCUUAGCAGAAGGAAAAGGAGGGGAAGUUUUAACUACUUGUGAAGAUUGGGACAUGCAGAUUUUAAUUUUUAUACAGAAACCAUAUUGCAACUUUAAUAAUGAUGUUUAAAGUUUCUUUAAUGACAUUGUUAAUAAGAGUCAACAGAAAACUCAUGGAAAUUUCUGAGUUUUCAACCAGAAAUUUACUACCAGGAAUGAAAGGAGGAGAAAUUUACUACACAUAUAUUUAAAGGAUGACUAGAAAAAAACAAAAGUUUGCAUUAUGAUUAAAUCAUUAAUUAUGCCUGCUCUCCAUCAUACAAUGAAGUAAAAAUUAGAUGAACAAGUGAAAAAUAAAAUAUCUCUCAUUCCAUUGGAUUAACUAGUACUCUGGAUUUUGUUUUCAGCUUUUUCUCACAUUUUGUUAUAGUCUUAGGUAUAUCAGGGGAGUUUGUAAUUUCCUUGGUUCUUGGUUUUGUCACAGCAAAAUUUUGAAACAACAGAUGAAUCAGUGUUACAACUCAGUUUCAUUUAGAAAGUAAAGGAAAAUACACCCUCGAGGAAUGAGGGUGGGCAGACCCAGAAGUGGGACCUCAAUCCUUCUAGGCUUCCUCCUUUUAUACAUUUGUCUCCUUCCCACUGAGCCUGCGCUAUGUAAAUUGGGCUAGCUAGGAGGGCUGUUUGUUUUACCUGAGGCCCUCACUCUGUUUCUGGGACUUUCCUUUGUUCUAUUUUCACAGGCUUUUCCCUCUUUCGUCUUUUAGCCACCACCAUUUUGGACUCGUUUCUCCUAUUCUACCUACCUAUCAGGUAUAUGUGUGUUUUCC
This 1179-nucleotide long non-coding RNA is filed under the name Ovis aries (sheep). RNAcentral describes it as "lncRNA (ENSOARG00000026320.1)". The record is from RNAcentral. Lineage: Eukaryota; Metazoa; Chordata; Mammalia; Artiodactyla; Bovidae.